GAAUUUGUCCCAUAUAAUUUCCUAUGAAGGUUUUAAUAAGGCCGUUGAGCGGCCUUUGUAAGUCUCUUUAGAGUAUGAAUGAAAUCCUUAAAACUAUCAAUGACAUUACGCGUCCAUUAAAACUAUCAAUGACUUCAGCCUUUCUAGUAUCAAGAGUAGCACACAAUAUGCGCUUGUAGUCAUUUUAAUAUUAUUAAUGAGUAAUCGAAAAGACAAAUCAGCAAUUAGUCUAAUGUUAC
This 239-nucleotide long non-coding RNA is filed under the name Prunus persica (peach). RNAcentral's name for it is "long non-coding RNA (PPER_LNC006371)". Lineage: Eukaryota; Viridiplantae; Streptophyta; Magnoliopsida; Rosales; Rosaceae. The record is from RNAcentral.